GGUGGCUCAGUGGUAGAGCACUUGUAUUGCAUGCAUGAGGCCCUGGGUUCCAUUCCUCAGCACCA
This 65-nucleotide transfer RNA is filed under the name Dipodomys ordii (Ord's kangaroo rat). It matches the Rfam family "tRNA". Rfam says of the family: Transfer RNA (tRNA) molecules are approximately 80 nucleotides in length. Their secondary structure includes four short double-helical elements and three loops (D, anti-codon, and T loops). Further hydrogen bonds mediate the characteristic L-shaped molecular structure. tRNAs have two regions of fundamental functional importance: the anti-codon, which is responsible for specific mRNA codon recognition, and the 3' end, to which the tRNAs corresponding amino acid is attached (by aminoacyl-tRNA synthetases). tRNAs cope with the degeneracy of the genetic code in two manners: having more than one tRNA (with a specific anti-codon) for a particular amino acid; and 'wobble' base-pairing, i.e. permitting non-standard base-pairing at the 3rd anti-codon position. Lineage: Eukaryota; Metazoa; Chordata; Mammalia; Rodentia; Heteromyidae. The record is from Rfam by way of RNAcentral.